This is a long non-coding RNA of Homo sapiens (human), 2599 nucleotides long. Ensembl annotates it as long intergenic non-protein coding RNA 1517. The record is from Ensembl. NCBI's taxonomy places the organism in Eukaryota, Metazoa, Chordata, Mammalia, Primates, Hominidae.
CGCAUUCAUGGUGACUCAACCUGUUAGCAGUUCCUUUCUUCUGGGAUCCAGCCUGUUGCGGCCUCUUUAGUAUCAGCAGUGGCUGUGCAGAACAUUGCCAAGCCCUUAGCAACCUAUUCAGCAGCUCUGUGGGGAUGGCUGGGGAGCCCCAGGUUUGCAAAUGCAACGGCGAGUCAGCCUGGAAAGUCGGCACCACGGUGCCCUCUCCCUGCCAGGCUCCUUCCAAGAAAUUCCCAGCUACCCUGCUGUUUAUUAAACAGCUCAGUAAAGAAAGCACAGGGGGCAAAACAGCCAUCCUACAUGAGCAGAAGGCAUUCACAAGUUGCCAGAGUGAUUUUGUCUGAGUGUUCGGCCUGGAGGUGGCUGAAAGAGCAAUAAUGAAACAGAAUGGGCGGUCCGAGCGGACAUGAAACAGCGAUUACACGUUCACGCUAUUCUUAGAAACAGUUGAGCCAGUGGCGGUGGAGUCUGAAGGCUCUGGAAUCUUUUCCUUCGUGUGGCAGCAACUUAUUUUUCCUGCGGAGGCUCGGUGGUGCUUUUCUUGGGCUCAGGAUUGCGGCUUGGAUGGCUCAUUCCCUGGGAGUGCACACACUGAGCCCUUUGGAAAGGCAGCAGCAGGACAAGGAUCAGUGGCAGGCAAAGAGGCAAAAAAAGCAGGACCCGGGUUCCAUAGGCAACUGCUUUAUUUACAGUUCCAAAAACGGUGCUUGUUCAACUAUCCUGAACUUUUGUAGAAGUUCAAACUUGGAAAUUGUAGUGAUGAAAUGAGAGCUGUGUUUUAAAAAUUACUUUUAACUGUCUAUGAAGCAAGUCUACAUUUUGGCAAAAUGGGCUGCUUUUAAUCUGGUCAUGUGGGAUUUAAAAAAAGAUUUAAUUCAGCUGGAUUUUGCAAAGCCCUUGCAUUGUAUGACAUGAGGUUAUUUAAGGUAUAGUUUUGUCUUCAAAGAGAAGAAAUAAGACACACGCAUGGAUUUUUAGAGUAAAAAUAACGAGAGAAUGUUAUUACCCAAGAGCAUAUAUUAGCUCACUUGCAGUGAUGUUGAACUGGGAACAUUCCAGAAGGAUUCCACGUGAAGCAGUGUUUGCAUUUGUAUGUUUGAAAUGCUCCAUAACAAAAUUGAAAAACUGUAAGAGCAAAAUAAAUAAUAAUACGGAUUAUGAAGUAAUUAAAAUGAAGCAGAGAAAAAACCUGUAGGAUGCAGCCUAAAUAAAUGAUACUUUAAAUCAAGCUUAUCCAACCCGUGUCUUGUAGGCCACAAUGUGGCCUAGGACAUAUUUGAAUGCGGCCCAACACAAAUUCGUAAACUUUCUUAAAAUAUUGUGAGACUUUUUUUUUUUUUUUAGUUCAUCAGCUAUCAUUAGUGUUAGUGUAUUUUACGUGUGGCCCAAGACAAUUCUUCUUCUUCUGAUGUGGCCCAGGGAAGCCAAAAGACUGGCCACCUCUGGUUCAAAUAAACAUUUACAGCCUCAGUCACAUAUAUUAGAAAAUGAAAAAGACUGAAAAAUUUGCCAGCUACUUGCUUGACACAGUACAACAGAAAAACAACAGCAAAGCAAGCAGAAAGAAGGCAGAAGAAGGAAGGAAACCAUAAAGAUAAGGAGAGCAAUUAAUGAGCUAGAAAACAAAGUAAUAAUGCAGAAAUCAACCCAACUAAAAGCCGGUUCCUUGAAAAGAGUGAUAAAGCCAUCUCUGGCAAGAAUGACCAAGGACGAGAGAAGAAAAAGCAUGAAAAAGAAACAGAGCAUAACUACUGAUGGAGAUUUUAAAGCCUGUAAGAGAAUACUAUGGACAAGUUCCUGACAAUACAUUUGGAAACAGAGAAAUCAGACAAUCUCCUAGAAAAAUAUUAAUUACAAAAACUGAUGAAAGAAAAAGCUGGAAUAUACCUAUAAUCAACAAAAGAAGUGAAUCAAGUUAAUAAUCUACAGCCUUCCUUCCCCGGAUGCCUCCCUCUCCAAAAAACAGGCCAGACACAGCCAAGUUUACAAAAUCUUCAAAGAACAGAUAAGCACUACUUUGUAUAAACUUUUUCAAAGAAUAGAAAAAGGACAACUUCCCACAUCAUUUUGUAUGCAUAACCUUGAUAAUAAAACUGAACAAAUAAAAUAGAGUGUAGCAAAAUUAUAGGUCAUUGUUAAUUAUGAAAUGAGUGUAAUGAUCUUAAAUAAAAUAUUAGUAAACCAAAUCUAUCAAAAUAUUUAAAUAAUACAUUUUUGACCAGUUAGUGUUUAUCCUAAUGUGGCAGGAUGGUUUACAUUAGGAAAUCUUUUUAAUGUAAUUCACCACAUCUGUACGUUUAAAGAUGUUCAAAUGUUACUAUAUAUUGCUUACAGUUUUAUGUCUGUAAAAUAUAAAAAUAUAGUCAAUUACUGUCUAUCUCUGGUGAUGGAGAGUAAACAAUGAAAUGGGGAUGCUUUAGCUGGCACUAAAAUAUUUUCUUUCUCAAAAAAUAAAAAGGUAACUAAAGGAAAGAUAGUGUUAAGGAUAAUACUUCUUAGAUCUAGUGGAUGAACCCCUUGGUCAUUGUCAUUGUUUUCAUUUCUUCUGAAUUGCUGAGAUAUUACACAACUAAACAUAUUUGAGAAAAAAAGAGAAAAG